This 104-nucleotide small nuclear RNA is filed under the name Notamacropus eugenii (tammar wallaby). The record is from RNAcentral. Lineage: Eukaryota; Metazoa; Chordata; Mammalia; Diprotodontia; Macropodidae.
AUGCUUGCUUCAGCAGCACAUAUGCUAAAAUUGGAAUGAUUCAGAGAUUAGCACAGACCCUGAACAAGGAUGACAUGCAAAUUUGUGAAGCAUUCCUUAUUUUU